Molecule: long non-coding RNA, 568 nt
Filed under: Oryctolagus cuniculus (rabbit)
Lineage: Eukaryota; Metazoa; Chordata; Mammalia; Lagomorpha; Leporidae
Description: lncRNA (ENSOCUG00000037011.1)
Source: RNAcentral
AGUUAAUUUGCCACUGUGGAUGAUGUGGAGUAUUCACAUUUCUAUGAAAAUUCCUGGGAAAGGUUGAAAGUCAAGUUCAAGGAUUUCAACAUUUAACCUGUUGAUAUUGUUGUAUCGACAAAGUUCAAAUGCAUUUUAAAUCCAAAGAAUACAGAGGGUGUCUGAGACAUGAGUGUGCCCAGUCUUUUCUAUCACAGGCCACACACAGGUCUGGCUCACUGGGAUUUGCCAAGAAGACUUCUCUAUGAAAUUCAAGAACUAUGGAAUUAUCUUUUUGUGGCCUCAAGGGGGGAAUAUGGGCCUGCCCUGGAAAACCAAUGGAAGGUCAUGGGCUAAAAGAUAUUACCUCAAAGAAAAUCAUUGGAAACUUGAAGCUGUUAUUUUUAGUCAUUCUGUUUGCCAUCACCUCUUACAUUUCAAAUCAGGAAAACAUGCACCUAAAAUUCACACUUCCUCCUGUUUUGCAAAAGAAAACCCACACACUGAUCCACAUGCUUAUUUCCUUUCACCCUGGGCUGUAUUCCCAAGCAUGCUAGAACCCAGACUUUGCCCUGUGUCAGACAUAUGA